GUAGGAUGGGUCUGCGGCGUAUCAGGUUGUAGGGGGUGUAAAGGACCCCCUAGCCUUCGACGCGUACGGGUGUUGGGAGACAUAGCCCGGAGAUGGAUUCUGAGACACGAAUCCAGACCCUACGGGGUGCAGCAGGCGCGAAAACUUCACACUGCAGGAAACUGUGAUGAGGGAACUCCUAGUGCAUGCACUAUGUGUAUGUAGAUCCUACUCUUAACAAGUAGAGGGAAAGGGCUGGGAAAGACCGGUGCCAGCCGCCGCGGUAAUACCGGCAGCUCAAGUGGUCGUCGCUUUUAUUGGGCCUAAAACGUCCGUAGCCUGUUUGGUAAAUCUGUGGGUAAAUCAAUCCGCUCAACGGAUUGAAUUCUGCAGAGACUGCCAGACUAGGGACCGGGAGAGGUGUGGGGUACUCGAGGGGUAGGGGUAAAAUCCUGUCAUCCUUCGAGGACCACCAGUUGCGAAGGCGCCACACUGGAACGGAUCCGACGGUCAGGGACGAAGCCUAGGGGCACGAACCGAAUUAGAUACCCGGGUAGUCCUAGGUGUAAACGCUGUGAACUUGGUGUCGGGGGUCCGCAAGGGGUCCCCGGUGCCGGAGUGAAGAUGUUAAGUUCACUGCCUGGGGAGUACGGUCGCAAGGCUGAAACUUAAAGGAAUUGGCGGGGCAGCAC
Molecule: ribosomal RNA, 671 nt
Filed under: uncultured euryarchaeote
Lineage: Archaea; Methanobacteriati; Methanobacteriota
Description: bacterial SSU rRNA
Rfam family: Archaeal small subunit ribosomal RNA
Source: RNAcentral